GCUGGGUGUGGUGGUGUGUGCCUGUAGUCCCAGCUACUUAGGAGGCUGAGGCAGGAGAAUCCCUUGAACCCGGGAGGCGGAGAUUGCAGUGAGCCAAGAUUGCGCCACUGUACUCCAGCCUGGGUGACAGAGUGAGACUUAGUCUCAAAAAAAAAAAAAAAAGCCGGGUGUGGUGGCGUGGGCCUGUGGUCCCAGCUACUCAGGAGGCUAAGGCUGGAGUGCAGUAGCUCGAUCUCGGCUCACUGCAGCCUCUGCCUCCCAGGUUCAAGUGAUUCUCUUGCCUCAG
Molecule: small RNA, 286 nt
Filed under: Pongo abelii (Sumatran orangutan)
Lineage: Eukaryota; Metazoa; Chordata; Mammalia; Primates; Hominidae
Description: Metazoan signal recognition particle RNA (ENSPPYG00000031484.1)
Source: RNAcentral